GCUUCGGUGAUGUAGUGGUAGAACACGGGUCCCCAGAUAGGAUGAAACGCAGGUUCGAAUCCCGCCUGAGGCC
Molecule: non-coding RNA, 73 nt
Organism: Parelaphostrongylus tenuis
Lineage: Eukaryota; Metazoa; Nematoda; Chromadorea; Rhabditida; Metastrongylidae
Source: the annotation of a GenBank genome assembly